GUCCCCUUUGUCUCGCCGCCACCCACGCUCCGGGGUGGAGGGACCUGCGUGGUUGCGGGAGGAGGGAGAGAGCCUUCGAUUUCCCCGCUAUCGUCCUCCCUAGCCAGGGUGCCUGCUCACCUAGUCUGUGCAAGCCGGGUUCUCCUCCACCCUCCAGCAAAUCAUUUCACCUUUCAGAGUCUCAAUUUCUCCAUCUGUAAGAUGGGACUAACAUGAAUCACCUUACACCCUUCAAGGUAUACAUCGUUGGCCCCAUGAUAUGUGAAGACACCAAGCUUUGGGCCAAUAUCCUAAGCUUAACAGGUCCAUCACCAACUCAAUGGACACGAGUUUGAGCAAACUCUGGAAGAUAGUGAAGGACAGGGAAGCCUGGCAUGGUGUAGUUCAUGGGGUCGCAAACAGUCAGACACGACUGAGCAACUGAACAAUGACAAGCGCAGACCAUAGAAUUUCUACUGAGAAGACUUGACCUAUAGGACCUUUGUUUUCCAAAGCCUUAGUUUGCUCAUCUGAAAUGAUGGGUCCGGGCCUCCGGUGUGGUAGGGUGUUGAGAGGCAUGCAUGCAGUCGUG
This is a long non-coding RNA of Bos taurus (domestic cattle), 571 nucleotides long. NCBI's taxonomy places the organism in Eukaryota, Metazoa, Chordata, Mammalia, Artiodactyla, Bovidae. The record is from Ensembl.